AACUACAAGUCAGUUAGCCUGCAAAAAGCUCAAGAUAGGUUCCUUCCCCUUUAACUUCGGGUCCCCUAAUUCCAAGGUGAGAGAGUUUUGCUGGCAUGCCCUCAGUUGGAAACCAAACCCUUGUCCUUUCCCUUGUAUGCACACCUCCAAGAUGGGUCUGCCUCGGCCACUCCGCACCCCUCUGCCCAUCUGCUGUGAUGGCUCAGUGCCUGCUCACGAGUUGGUGGGAGCCUGUGGAGGUGCCAGGCAACAAUGUGUUUUGAUGGGCAGCCUGCAGAAGGUGGCAAUUGCCAUCUCCUGUGAGUGAAGGCCAUGAGCGGUGCCAACCCUGGCAAGCCAGGUCUCCGUAUACUUGUUUACACCUGUUGACUCUUCUGUGCCAAGAAAAGUGUACCCUAGCCGGGGACAUGGAAGAGAGAGGAUGCUGGCAGGACCCUAACCCCUGUGGGUUUCCUUGCAACAGAAGACCUCAGAGAGAUCCCCAUCAAUGAGGCUCGAGCCUGUGUGUGUUCCUAGAUGGAACUGCUCUGUGUCUCUUUGUCUUUUGUACUAGUGUGUGAUACUCAGGAAAGGAGGCUCAGCUGUGGCAUAGGUAUAAUCCACACAGACAUAAGCCCUCUCUCCAAGCCAGAGAAAAGAUCCAGGAGAAAGCCAGGCUGUGCUGACUCCUGGUAGCAUGUCCAGGCUUCUCCUCUAUUCUGUGUCCACCCAUCCUGGAGAGCCACCAACAGCCCAGCUCCCAAGUCAGACAGGUCUGGUUUUAGGGCUUAGUGCAAACACUGACUGAUGUCCUAGCCAAGGCCUAAACAAACAGCUCUACAGAUCUGUGACCACUGGAGCCUUUCCUUUUCCUGUGGACCAUACUUAGGCACUGACUUCAUUGGUCAGGACCUGCUGUAGCCAUGAGGCUCUUCAGAACAGGACCAGUGAGUGGCUACAGUCUGGGAGGUGCGUACUGACCUUGAGAGCCAUAUUUACAUGGGGAAAGUGGCCACAAGUAGCUUGUUUGGGUACUACUCUGAUAUUGCUAGGUUUGUGGAAUGCAUAGUGGCUCAUUAGACUCAGAGUCUGUGGCAUACUUAGGACAAAUCCAGAGGUUGGAAUGUCAUGUGUAGGAAGAUGCUAGCUCUACAGUCGAAAGCCACCGAUAGACAAUUGGAAUACUCGAGAGACUUCCAAGGGUCUCCCCAAGGAAUGCACUGAGGACUAAAGGCAGGUGUGGAAGGAAAUAAAAAGCAGCAAAGUAUUAGAAGAAAACUCACCAGCAAAAUAUUGUGCCUCCUAAGGUGGAGGAGGUGGGGAAAGACAUUGAACAGGAUGCAGGGAACAUGGAAGGUGUCUUGGAAAUGAGGAAAUUCAUGCAAGAGCUGUUUUGGACAGCCAGGACUUCCAGGGAGAGUUUAGGCCUCCAAAGCACCUGGAGUGCCAUCAUGGUCACUUUUCUGCUGUCAUGACAGAAUACCUGGACAAAAGUAACUUAUGGGAGAAGGAUUUGGGCUAGAGAUGGAUGGUAUCCAUCACAGAGAAAACGAUAAGCAGGAAAGGUAUGGAGCCAGGAGCAGGGGCCCAGCUUGUCUCAAUCCUACUCAGGAAGCAGAAAAUGAAGCGAAAUUGGGGCCUGGGUACAAGACCUGAAGGCCACCUCCAGCAGUCCACUUCCUCCAUCAAGGCUCUACCUUGUAACGGUUCCACAAACUUCAAACAUCACUACCAUCCAUAGGCCAAGUAGUCAAAUGCAGGAGCCAAUGGGGAACACAUCUCACAUUGGAACAGUAACAGUCACAAAGAGAGAGUUAGUGGACAGACCUCCUAAGACCAAGCUUUUGGGUUCAUAGGAGACCCAGAGACCCAGAGGAGUACCAGCCUCCUAGAAAUCAACCCAUUCAGCUCACAAAAUAUGUUCUCGCUUGCCUUGGGGACCUGGCAGUCCCACCUAUUCCUUCCACCCAGCAUCUAGCCCAUGGCUUCUCCACUGAUAGACCAAGAACCAAUUGGGGAACAGGACCUUACCAUCGGAAUCACCCCUACAGUGAGAAGUUCUCCAACACCACCGGGACAUACUGUGCUGCCACAAACCACGAACCUGUGAGCAAGUUGGAACAGGCAGCCAAGACAAAGCUUUCAGAUUGGUCCCAGAUACUUGGCACAGUAAAGGAAAGGUAAGGCACUAUCAAAAUGUCUCUAAGCUCGUGUCAACCAGCCCCCCAACCUGAUGCAUUAGAAGGCUGAGGGAACUUCGUAUUGAGGGAAGACCUCAAGGUAGCAGAGGGAUAAUCAAACAAGUGUAGAAGACAUGGGCAAGCCAAAUGCAAGACGGAGAAGCAAGAUAGCAGGUAAAGAGCCAUCGCUGUAUCUGUCAAAGGGGGGCAGAUGGCCAAAAGCCUGCCUCAGGUGGAAGCGUAUAAAUCCACCUUUGACCUCGGCAGUGUCACCCUAGCUCAGGUCCUGGGUAGUUGAGUGUUUAGAUGACCAGGACACAGCUGUUCUUUUCAAACAACAACCAUAAGAAUUCCACCCCAGGGGAAACGAAGGACAGGUUGCCUCACAAGGAUGCAGUAUAAGGAAAUGAGCUCUUUCCCACUCAGACAAUUUGUCCAAUCAGCAAAUGGCAAACCUAGAGCCAGCCAAUCCGAAAGCAGCCUGGAACUCUGGCAGUCUGCUCCGCUGAACGUGCUGUAACGGUGGAGACAGUCACUAGUGACUAAUAUGUUAGCUGUUAACAGCUUCUUAAGUGGGAGGAUGGGGAGUUCUGUGACUGUGCUUACAACCGCCGAAGAGAAGUGAGAUGUCUCGGUCUAGGAAGAUGUGAAUCGGGCAGCUACAUUUGCCCCGGGUUAAUUUAUUUGGCUCCAUCAUGGAGGAGCCACUGUUCAAGUUACCGGAGGGCUUCCCCUUCCUGAAAAUCAGUAAAGAAGCUGAAGCGAUGCUUUAUGAACCAUGACUUGCUUCAAGACACAAAAAGAAAUAGAAAAAUUCUAAAAUGGAGUCUCGGGGCCUAGUCCUUAAAACUCAGCCGGGAACGAAGGUAGAGUCUUAGGAUACCCAUAGUGUGAGGUCGGCAGACACAGCCAGCUGAGAUUGCAAGUGGCACCAGCCUAGCACUAAAUUAUCAGUAUCUCACUAUCAGUAUCAGCGAUCCAAGGCCCUGCCUGCUCUGCAGCUCAUUGACUAGAUGUAGCUACCACGUGGGAGGGGGUGCUGGUCCCACCCCAGCCUUCCCGAGAGAAGCCCCGGGCAAAGUUCUAUGCCUCUGUGAAUGGAGCUCAUGGAAGAGAGAAGACUGAAGCAACUGCAAAUGAGUAACAGAAUUCUUCAGGAGAACCAAGGAUGUGGAGAAGGACACAGCCAGGGAGGGCGACUCUGGAAUGCUGGGAAUAAUGGUGACUUGGCAAGGGGGCAAUCCCUCAAGAACGUAACAUUUGAACAAAGACCUGAGAAAACGUGAGCCAGGAAAUCCCAGCGUGGGUGAAGGCAGCACAAAGGCCCCGAGGCAGGAUGGGAUUGCUCUCGCUCAAGAGAAGGAAGAAUGUUGGUGUGACCAGAGAGAGAGGGCAGAAGACAGAGAGGACCGAAGCCUGGUCAUGGGCCCUAACGGGCCACUGCAGAGACUUGUGGUCUUCAUCACAAUCUUGGGGAAUCUUAGGAGGGAAAUAACCCCAUUCUGUGCUACA
This 3671-nucleotide small RNA is filed under the name Rattus norvegicus (Norway rat). Its description in RNAcentral is "uncharacterized LOC102555887". Lineage: Eukaryota; Metazoa; Chordata; Mammalia; Rodentia; Muridae. The record is from RNAcentral.